Molecule: long non-coding RNA, 3291 nt
Organism: Brassica napus (rape)
Lineage: Eukaryota; Viridiplantae; Streptophyta; Magnoliopsida; Brassicales; Brassicaceae
Exons: 2
Source: RefSeq, a predicted model, not a curated record
AAAUGUUUAUUAUUACAUGAUUUCAAUUUUUUACCCAUCAAAAUAUUUUUUUAUAAAAUUAUAAAACUAUUUUUAAGAUCUAUUGAACGAGAAGACUUACAAAGAAGUCAUCAUAGAGAAGACUUAUUUAAUGGUAAAACUAAAUACAUUUUUUUGUUUGUUCAUAAAGGGGUUGUUGUAAUUCACUAGGCUUUUGGGUUACUUUUGCAUUUGAUUGAAUUUGGGGUACACUUUUGUAUUCAAAAUCAAGUUUUAAGUCAUUUUUGGCAAAUCUCCCUUAAUUUAUCUUGUUUUUACAGGUUUUUAAAUACAGGGUUCUUGUCUUUCCAGAAGUCUUUCAAAGUCUGACUCAGAUCUGAAAAACUUUCAAAUCCAAAAAUAUUCAAAUGGUUUCAAAACAGAGAAAAUGAGUUGAAAAUGAGAUAGAUUUACCUUUAUAGAACCACAAAAAUACAUAUCUAAAUUUCUAGAUCUACCAUUAAAAGAGUGGAAGAUGGGAACCAUGUAUACAAAAAUCUGCAAAAACAAGAUAAAUUAAUGAAAAAAUGAUAUAAAGUUUGAUGUUUUCAAGUUAAAAGAGAUUAUAGAGAGGCUGGAGAGUUUUAGAGUGAAAAACAUUACAUUUUUGUUACAGCCAUUUUAAAGGAAGAUAGAGAUGUGUAAAUUUUCUUUAUAUAGUGAAACAAAAAAAUUCAAUUAGAUUAAAUAUUUUUUGAUUCAGAAGACUUUCAGGGAAGUCUUUUAAACCCUAAAUUUACUAUUCGCCCAGGGAAGUCUUCUAGAACAUUAUUUGUUAGAAGACUUAACUAACCUAAACCCUAAAAUCAAAUAACUAACUAAACAUUAAUAAACACUUCAUUAAACUUAAAAUCAACUUUUAAAGUAUUUAAUAUACACAACACUAAAUGUGUAUGUGUCAAAUUUAAGAUCCAAAAUCUAACCCUAAAAUACAACAAUACUAUGAUAUACCCUUAACCAAAAAAUAUCAUGACUCAAUUUAUAUUCACUCAUCUAAAGUUAAAAAUAAUUCAAUUUUACUACAUCUUAAUUUAUAUCAUUUACAAGUGUUUAUAAUUACAUGAUUUCAAUUUUUUCCCCUACAAAAUAUUUUGUAUAAAAUUUAUAAAUUAUUUUAAGAUCAACUAUAUGAGAAGACUUCCAGGAAGUCGUCUCCCAGAAGACUUCCCGGGAUUAUAUUUGUAAAAAUGAAUUAUGUUUUUUGGUUUGGUCAUAAGAGGCUUGUUAUAAUUUCACAAGGCUUUUGAGUUUUUUAUGCAUUUGAUUGGAGUUUGACUUUUGUAUUAAAAAUCAAGUUUUGAGUCACAUUUGGCAUAUUUCUCAUAUUUUAUAUCUAAAAUAUACUCCCCCGUUUCAAAUUAGUUGUCACUGUAGCAUAAAAUAUUUGUUGCAAAAUAAGUAUCGUUUGAUUCUAAUGCAAUUUUUUCUAUUAAUUUAUAUUUUUACCUCUAAUUAAACUAAUAUAAAUAAUAAAUGCUAUGUAAUUAUAAUAUGGUCAAACAAGGACAAAUUUGAACGUUUAAUUAGUUUCUUAAUUUGUGUCCAAAGCUCUAAAAUGAUAACUAAUUUGAAACAAAUGGAAUAUUAUGUUUUCUAAAAUUACACAUAAACUAUACUACUAUCUUGUUAACUUUCAAAUUAAAAUUUUUUAGAUUAUUAAUUGCAACCCGAUUUUAUAUUUAUUAGGCAAGUUUAUUAGGCAAUUUAUCAUAUAUCGUAUAUUUGACCGCAAGUAUAAUUGCGUAGGAAUAUGUUUUAUUUUCGAUUAAACACAUAUAUUAAUAGGGGUGAUUUUUUUGUUAAGUUUCAAGAUUUUCUCCCCAUCAGAUAUUUGAUAGAUUAUAAAUGUUAUUUUUUGAAUUUCAGAAUAUUUACUAAUGGAAUAUAAUAUAAUAAAAAUAUAUCUAUUUACACAAUAUUAUUUUUCUCUCUCUUAAAUCUCUUCCAAAAGACAAUUCACCGGCGUUUACUCCUUCCUCCGAUAGUGGCACCUUGUCGUGGCCGGCGGAUUCUCUUCCCCCUCUCUCGUUUUUAUCUUUGCUUCUUCCACUCCUUUAACUCCUUCUCUGAUAUAUCAAGAUUCUAGUAAGUUUGCUCUUGGUCAGUUUCUUAGAUCUGGGUCGCCGCAUACGUAUUUGCUAGGAGGUAGGCUCCACCGGAGUGGCGGUGAGGCUAAAGAGCUUAGGCAGUGGUGAGUUUGGCUUUUUCGGUAGUAAAAUAUAGAUCGACGAUUACACUUUUGCUCGAUUUGGAUUCUAUCGGAGCUCUGGUGGCGCGUGAGUCUUCAGAAGGGCUCACCCGGUUCAGAUCUUCUCAGAUCUUCCUCGGUGUGGAGCUGAAGUGUCGGCUCAUCAUCCUCCGCUUUUUGUGUCUCGGUGUAGGAGGAGUCUGCUACUGUGCUCAGGUUGGACUUCAGCGGUGGUCUCCGUCAAGGCACUCGCUGGCUUCGCUUCUUCUGGCGGUGUCGUUAGAAGCCUCUCAGUGGCGCGUGUGGAGUGCUCUGGUGUGACGGCGCGUGGAGUUGUCUAUGCUUUAGCGUCAUUAUCUGGUUCCUCUUCUCCGGUCUUCGCUCUUCUGUCCCGGUUUUGGUUCGUUGUUCUUUCUCGCCAUAAGUGCAUAUUCUUGGUGUAGAAUUGUCGGGGUUGUGUUCUUCAUGUUUGUGAGCCCCUGUCUGUCACCGGUUGGCUUUGGUUCUGAGAGGUCGAACUUUCCUCUUGUUCUAAGAGGUGGAAUGUGUGGACUUGUUGGUGUGUUUUGUGAGUCGGGGGCGUUUUCGUUCCUGUUUCCCUCCACAAGCAAAGUGGCAAGAGCUCAAUCCGGUCUUUGUCUGUUGUUGGGAGAACGCGCCUUGGCGUCGUCCUGUCUUCAGGUAUGAAUCUCUCGGGUCUUGUCUAACCAGCUAAGGGUUUCAUGUCAACAAAGAUUACGAGCGUAAUGUAAUUGUCAAGAACGAGCUACUCUGUUGACGAUAUGAGAUGUACUGGCAGCCGAAGAAACAAGGUGAAUACCACCCUCAAAUGUGUACUACCAUCAACGAUUGAGAACGGCAAUUGACAAUCAAAGGAUAAUGAAACUACUUAGCAGAACGCGCCGGUAUAGUCAUAAUUGAGCGAAGGUAGGAUGGUAAGUUAGAAUGAGAUUAUUUUGUUCGAAUUUGUUUAUAAUCAACGUUUGAAUACCUGGUUUCCGGGUAGAUAAAUAAAGUUAAUAUAUAUAAAAAUAUAUUGUAAUAUUAGUGUGAAAUCAAGGGAAAAUUAUAGUUAACCUGAAAAA